CGGGGUGCAGCAGGCGCGAAAACUUUACAAUGCCGGCAACGGCGAUAAGGGGACCUCGAGUGCCAGGUUACAAAUCUGGCUGUCGUGAUGCCUAAAAAGCAUUGCAUAGCAAGGGCCGGGCGAGACCGGUGCCAGCCGCCGCGGUAACACCGGCGGCUCGAGUGGUAACCGUUAUUAUUGGGUCUAAAGGGUCUGUAGCCGGCCGGAUAAGUCUCUUGGGAAAUCCAGCAGCUCAACUGUUGGGCUUCCAGGAGAUACUGUUCGGCUCGAGGCCGGGAGAGGUGAGAGGUACUUCAGGGGUAGGGGUGAAAUCUUGUAAUCCUUGAAGGACCACCAGUGGCGAAGGCGUCUCACCAGAACGGACCUGACGGCAAGGGACGAAAGCUAGGGGCACGAACCGGUUUAGAUACCCGGGUAGUCCUAGCCGUAAACGAUACUCGCUAGGUGUCGGCCACGGUGCGACCGUUGUCGGUGCCGUAGGGAAGCCGUGAAGCGAGCCACCUGGGAAGUACGGCCGCAAGGCUGAAACU
Molecule: ribosomal RNA, 530 nt
Filed under: uncultured archaeon
Lineage: Archaea
Description: bacterial SSU rRNA
Rfam family: Archaeal small subunit ribosomal RNA
Source: RNAcentral